CGGCCAGACUCCUACGGGAGGCAGCAGUGGGGAAUAUUGCACAAUGGGGGAAACCCUGAUGCAGCGACGCCGCGUGAGUGAAGAAGUAUUUCGGUAUGUAAAGCUCUAUCAGCAGGGAAGAAAAUGACGGUACCUGAUUAAGAAGCCCCGGCUAACUACGUGCCAGCAGCCGCGGUAAUACGUAGGGGGCGAGCGUUAUCCGGAAUUACUGGGUGUAAAGGGAGCGUAGACGGCGAGGUAAGCCUGAAGUGGAAGCCCGCGGCCCAACCGCGGAACUGCUUUGGGAACUGUUUUGCUGGAGUAUGGGAGGGGUAAGCGGAAUUCCUGGUGUAGCGGUGAAAUGCGUAGAUAUCAGGAGGAACACCGGUGGCGAAGGCGGCUUACUGGACCAUAACUGACGUUGAGGCUCGAAAGCGCGGGGAGCAAACAGGAUUAGAUACCCUAGUA
Molecule: ribosomal RNA, 447 nt
Filed under: uncultured bacterium
Lineage: Bacteria
Description: bacterial SSU rRNA
Rfam family: Bacterial small subunit ribosomal RNA
Source: RNAcentral